RNAcentral lists this ribosomal RNA (542 nucleotides) under uncultured bacterium. RNAcentral's name for it is "bacterial SSU rRNA". It matches the Rfam family "Bacterial small subunit ribosomal RNA", at positions 382 to 916 of the family's 1533-position model. The record is from RNAcentral.
CCUGACGCAGCGACGCCGCGUGGGUGAUGAAGGCCUUCGGGUUGUAAAGCCCUGUGGGGAGAGACGAAUAAGUGCAUCCUAAUACGGUGCAUGAUGACGGUAUCUCCUUAGCAAGCACCGGCUAACUCUGUGCCAGCAGCCGCGGUAAGACAGAGGGUGCAAACGUUGUUCGGAAUUACUGGGCGUAAAGCGUGUGUAGGCGGUCUUGUAAGUCGGAUGUGAAAGCCCCGGGCUCAACCCGGGAAGUGCACUCGAUACUGCGAGACUUGAGUAUCGGAGAGGUUGGUGGAAUUCUCGGUGUAGAGGUGAAAUUCGUAGAUAUCGAGAGGAACACCGGUGGCGAAAGCGGCCAACUGGACGAAUACUGACGCUGAGACACGAAAGCGUGGGGAGCAAACAGGAUUAGAUACCCUGGUAGUCCACGCCGUAAACGAUGGGUGCUAGGUGCUGCGGGCUUUGACUCCUGCGGUGCCGUAGCUAACGCAUUAAGCACCCCGCCUGGGAAGUACGGCCGCAAGGCUAAAACUCAAAUGAAUUGACGG